CUCCACCCGCCGCUAUCGCGCCUAGAGUUCCUUAAAUGACUCGGGGGCGGCUUCCGGGAAACCAAUGUUUUUCGGUUCCGGGGGAAGUAUGGUUGCAAAGCUGAAACUUAGAGGAAUUGACGGAGGGGCCCCACCAGGAGGGGAGCCUGCGGCUUAUUUUGACUCAACACGAGGAAAUUUACCCGGCCUGGACACUGGAAGGAUUGACAGAUUGAGACCUCUUUCUUGAUUCGGGGGGUGGGGGUGCGUGGUCGCUCUUAGUUGGGGGAGCGAUUUGUCUGGUUAAUUCCAAUAAAAAACGAAACUCUACCCUAUUAAAUAGGCUCCCGGCUUUUAAGCCCCGGGAGGACUUCUUAAAGGGACAGGGGGCUUCUCCCCCCCCAGAAAAUAAACACUACCAAGUUUGGUGUUGCCCUUUGUUGUCCGGGGCCCCCCCCCCUCAACAAUGAAAAGAUGAUCUUGCUUUUUGUUCCUGCCCAGAGCGAGCGGGGAAACCCAGCCACCUUCUGCGUGAUUGAGGAUAAAGAUUGUAUCCAUUCUUCUUGAACGACCUCUUGCCAGUAAAUGCGAAUCAUAAGGUUUGUUUUAUUCCUUCCCUGUCCUUUCGCACCACCGUCCGUCUUCCUACUGAUUGAUCGAUGUGGUGACUCAUCGGCCCUGACCGACCCCUCCGUCUGCCGGUGUGCGUUUGAGAUGGACCGAUGCUGAACUUUGAUCGAUUAAAGAUCUCAAAUCGGUACAACGUGUGUCCUAGGGGACCUGAGGAGGAUUAGGGCAAUUCUUCAACCUACAAGACUAGUCAUUUUAUGUGGGUAAUUCUACUUGUGACAGAU
RNAcentral lists this ribosomal RNA (833 nucleotides) under uncultured eukaryote. Its description in RNAcentral is "partial 18S ribosomal RNA". It matches the Rfam family "Eukaryotic small subunit ribosomal RNA", at positions 1031 to 1831 of the family's 1831-position model. The record is from RNAcentral.